Molecule: ribosomal RNA, 256 nt
Filed under: Escherichia coli
Lineage: Bacteria; Pseudomonadati; Pseudomonadota; Gammaproteobacteria; Enterobacterales; Enterobacteriaceae
Also listed under: 1 other name
Description: partial 16S ribosomal RNA
Rfam family: Bacterial small subunit ribosomal RNA
Source: RNAcentral
AAAUUGAAGAGUUUGAUCAUGGCUCAGAUUGAACGCUGGCGGCAGGCCUAACACAUGCAAGUCGAACGGUAACAGGAAACAGCUUGCUGUUUCGCUGACGAGUGGCGGACGGGUGAGUAAUGUCUGGGAAACUGCCUGAUGGAGGGGGAUAACUACUGGAAACGGUAGCUAAUACCGCAUAAUGUCGCAAGACUAAAGAGGGGGACCUUCGGGCCUCUUGCCAUCGGAUGUGCCCAGAUGGGAUUAGCUAGUAGGU